RNAcentral lists this signal recognition particle RNA (281 nucleotides) under Capra hircus (goat). Its description in RNAcentral is "Metazoan signal recognition particle RNA (ENSCHIG00000006415.1, ENSCHIG00020008303.1, ENSCHIG00040012267.1)". It matches the Rfam family "Metazoan signal recognition particle RNA". Rfam says of the family: The signal recognition particle (SRP) is a universally conserved ribonucleoprotein. It is involved in the co-translational targeting of proteins to membranes. The eukaryotic SRP consists of a 300-nucleotide 7S RNA and six proteins: SRPs 72, 68, 54, 19, 14, and 9. The record is from Rfam by way of RNAcentral. Lineage: Eukaryota; Metazoa; Chordata; Mammalia; Artiodactyla; Bovidae.
GCUGGGCGCGGUGGCGCAAGCCUGUAAUCCCAGCUACUCGGGAGGCUAAGGCUGGAGGCAGGGGUUCUGGGCUGUAGUGCGCGAUGCUGAUCGGGUGUCCGCACUAAGUUCGGCAUCAAUAUGGUGACCUCCCGGGAGUGGGGGACCACCAGGUUGCCUAAGGAGGGGUGAACCGGCCCAGGUCGGAAACGGAGCAGGUCAAAACUCCCAUGCUGAUCAGUAGUGGGAUCGCGCCUGUGAAUAGCCACUGUUCUCCAGCCUGGGCAACAUAUAUAUAUUUU